RNAcentral lists this ribosomal RNA (466 nucleotides) under uncultured bacterium. RNAcentral's name for it is "partial 16S ribosomal RNA". It matches the Rfam family "Bacterial small subunit ribosomal RNA", at positions 28 to 507 of the family's 1533-position model. The record is from RNAcentral.
GAUGAACGCUGGCGGCGUGCUUAACACAUGCAAGUCGAACGAUGAAGCCCAGCUUGCUGGGUGGAUUAGUGGCGAACGGGUGAGUAACACGUGAGUAACCUGCCCUUAACUCUGGGAUAAGCCUGGGAAACUGGGUCUAAUACCGGAUAGGAGCGCCUACCGCAUGGUGGGUGUUGGAAAGAUUCAUCGGUUUUGGAUGGACUCGCGGCCUAUCAGCUUGUUGGUGAGGUAAUGGCUCACCAAGGCGACGACGGGUAGCCGGCCUGAGAGGGUGACCGGCCACACUGGGACUGAGACACGGCCCGGACUCCUACGGGAGGCAGCAGUGGGGAAUAUUGCACAAUGGGCGAAAGCCUGAUGCAGCGACGCCGCGUGAGGGAUGACGGCCUUCGGGUUGUAAACCUCUUUCAGUAGGGAAGAAGCGAAAGUGACGGUACCUGCAGAAGAAGCACCGGCUAACUACGUG